This 521-nucleotide long non-coding RNA is filed under the name Capra hircus (goat). RNAcentral's name for it is "lncRNA (ENSCHIG00000005155.1)". The record is from RNAcentral. Lineage: Eukaryota; Metazoa; Chordata; Mammalia; Artiodactyla; Bovidae.
AUGCAUUUAGCAGUUAGGGCCCAGAGUCCAGCUAAAAUAAAGGACAAAAAUCACGUUCUGCCUAAGGCGGUUGGUUCGAAGCCAUCCAGGCUGUGGUCACUAGACCGAGAACACCGUCCCAACUACAGAAAACGAGACUCGAGCUCCCAGCAGUCCCCGCGUGGAGGCGGGGCAGGGGUUUGCCAGGCCCCGGACGCGGAGGCCCGAGCUCGCGGAGGAUGGCGGGAACUGGAAGAGCGACCGUCCGUAGACCUCCCUCAUACCCUUGCUCCCGCGACCCGGCCCCUUCUCAAGCCCUCUGCACGAAAGAAAACUGGCCACACUGGGGAGCCUGCGAUAGCAGCGAGAACAAUCGCUUGUGACUGGAGCAUCCAUCACGGGCCGAGGUCCUACAGCUGGCCGGCCUGGAGGAGCCGCCACCACCACCGCUGCCUUCACCGUGGUCUGCACUUUAUUAGAAUUUAUACGUUGCCCCGAUUGAGGGGGAAAAUAAUUAACACCUCUACAAAUAUAUCGUAAAC